UGGGGGAUAUUGCACAAUGGGCGAAAGCCUGAUGCAGCGACGCCGCGUGGGGGAUGAAGGCUUUCGGGUUGUAAACCUCUUUCGCUAUCGAACAAGGCCCGCUUAGGGUGGGUUGAGGGUAGGUGGAGAAGAAGCGCCGGCUAACUACGUGCCAGCAGCCGCGGUAAUACGUAGGGCGCGAGCGUUGUCCGGAAUUAUUGGGCGUAAAGGGCUUGUAGGCGGCUUGGUGCGCCUGAUGUGAAAACGCGGGGCUUAACUUCGCGCGUGCAGUGGGUACGGGCAGGCUUGAGUGUGGUAGGGGUGACUGGAAUUCCAGGUGUAGCGGUGGAAUGCGCAGAUAUCUGGAGGAACACCGAUGGCGAAGGCAGGUCACUGGGCCAUUACUGACGCUGAGGAGCGAAAGCAUGGGUAGCGAACAGG
This 420-nucleotide ribosomal RNA is filed under the name bacterium. RNAcentral's name for it is "partial 16S ribosomal RNA". It matches the Rfam family "Bacterial small subunit ribosomal RNA", at positions 355 to 776 of the family's 1533-position model. The record is from RNAcentral.